UACGUAGGGUGCAAGCGUUAAUCGGAAUUACUGGGCGUAAAGCGUGCGCAGGCGGCUCCUUAAGUCAGAUGUGAAAGCCCCGGGCUUAACCUGGGAACUGCGUUUGAAACUGGGGAGCUAGAGUGUAGAAGAGGGGGGUGGAAUUCCAGGUGUAGCAGUGAAAUGCGUAGAUAUCUGGAGGAACACCGAUGGCGAAGGCAGCCCCCUGGGCUAACACUGACGCUCAUGCACGAAAGCGUGGGGAGCAAACAGG
RNAcentral lists this ribosomal RNA (253 nucleotides) under uncultured bacterium. RNAcentral's name for it is "partial 16S ribosomal RNA". It matches the Rfam family "Bacterial small subunit ribosomal RNA", at positions 524 to 776 of the family's 1533-position model. The record is from RNAcentral.